GGUCAAGUGAAGAAGCGCAUACGGUGGAUGCCUUGGCAGUCAGAGGCGAUGAAAGACGUGGUAGCCUGCGAAAAGCUUCGGGGAGUCGGCAAACAGACUGUGAUCCGGAGAUGUCUGAAUGGGGGAACCCAGCCAUCACAAGAUGGUUAUCUUACACUGAAUACAUAGGUGUAAGAGGCGAACCAGGGGAACUGAAACAUCUAAGUACCCUGAGGAAAAGAAAUCAACCGAGAUUCCCUUAGUAGUGGCGAGCGAACGGGGACCAGCCCUUAAGUUGUAUUGAGAUUAGCGGAACGCUCUGGAAAGUGCGGCCAUAGUGGGUGAUAGCCCUGUACGCGAAAAUCCCUUUGCAAUGAAAUCGAGUAGGACGGGGCACGAGAAACCUUGUCUGAAUAUGGGGGGACCAUCCUCCAAGGCUAAAUACUACUGACUGACCGAUAGUGAACCAGUACCGUGAGGGAAAGGCGAAAAGAACCGCGGAGAGCGGAGUGAAAUAGAUCCUGAAACCGUAUGCGUACAAGCAGUGGGAGCCCACUUUGUUGGGUGACUGCGUACCUUUUGUAUAAUGGGUCAGCGACUUAUUUUCAGUGGCGAGCUUAACCGAAUAGGGGAGGCGUAGCGAAAGCGAGUCUUAAUAGGGCGUCUAGUCGCUGGGAAUAGACCCGAAACCGGGCGAUCUAUCCAUGGGCAGGUUGAAGGUUGGGUAACACUAACUGGAGGACCGAACCGACUACCGUUGAAAAGUUAGCGGAUGACCUGUGGAUCGGAGUGAAAGGCUAAUCAAGCUCGGAGAUAGCUGGUUCUCCUCGAAAGCUAUUUAGGUAGCGCCUCAUGUAUCACUGUAGGGGGUAGAGCACUGUUUCGGCUAGGGGGUCAUCCCGACUUACCAAACCGAUGCAAACUCCGAAUACCUACAAGUGCCGAGCAUGGGAGACACACGGCGGGUGCUAACGUCCGUCGUGAAAAGGGAAACAACCCAGACCGUCAGCUAAGGUCCCAAAGUCAUGGUUAAGUGGGAAACGAUGUGGGAAGGCUUAGACAGCUAGGAGGUUGGCUUAGAAGCAGCCACCCUUUAAAGAAAGCGUAAUAGCUCACUAGUCGAGUCGGCCUGCGCGGAAGAUGUAACGGGGCUCAAACCAUGCACCGAAGCUACGGGUAUCACCUUUGGUGAUGCGGUAGAGGAGCGUUCUGUAAGCCUGUGAAGGUGAGUUGAGAAGCUUGCUGGAGGUAUCAGAAGUGCGAAUGCUGACAUGAGUAACGACAAUGGGUGUGAAAAACACCCACGCCGAAAGACCAAGGUUUCCUGCGCAACGUUAAUCGACGCAGGGUUAGUCGGUCCCUAAGGCGAGGCUGAAAAGCGUAGUCGAUGGAAAACAGGUUAAUAUUCCUGUACUUCUGGUUAUUGCGAUGGAGGGACGGAGAAGGCUAGGCCAGCCUGGCGUUGGUAGUCCAGGUUUAAGGUGGUAGGCUGAGAUCUUAGGUAAAUCCGGGAUCUUAAGGCCGAGAGCUGAUGACGAGUGUUCUUUUAGAACAUGAAGUGGUUGAUGCCAUGCUUCCAAGAAAAGCUUCUAAGCUUCAGGUAACCAGGAACCGUACCCCAAACCGACACAGGUGGUUGGGUAGAGAAUACCAAGGCGCUUGAGAGAACUCGGGUGAAGGAACUAGGCAAAAUGGCACCGUAACUUCGGGAGAAGGUGCGCCGGUGAGGGUGAAGCAUUUACUGCGUAAGCCCACGCCGGUCGAAGAUACCAGGCCGCUGCGACUGUUUAUUAAAAACACAGCACUCUGCAAACACGAAAGUGGACGUAUAGGGUGUGACGCCUGCCCGGUGCCGGAAGGUUAAUUGAUGGGGUUAGCGCAAGCGAAGCUCUUGAUCGAAGCCCCGGUAAACGGCGGCCGUAACUAUAACGGUCCUAAGGUAGCGAAAGUCCUUGUCGGGUAAGUUCCGACCUGCACGAAUGGCGUAACGAUGGCGGCGCUGUCUCCACCCGAGACUCAGUGAAAUUGAAAUCGCUGUGAAGAUGCAGUGUAUCCGCGGCUAGACGGAAAGACCCCGUGAACCUUUACUAUAGCUUUGCACUGGACUUUGAAUUUGCUUGUGUAGGAUAGGUGGGAGGCUUUGAAGCGUGGACGCCAGUCUGCGUGGAGCCAACCUUGAAAUACCACCCUGGCAACUUUGAGGUUCUAACUCAGGUCCGUUAUCCGGAUCGAGGACAGUGUAUGGUGGGUAGUUUGACUGGGGCGGUCUCCUCCUAAAGAGUAACGGAGGAGUACGAAGGUGCGCUCAGACCGGUCGGAAAUCGGUCGUAGAGUAUAAAGGCAAAAGCGCGCUUGACUGCGAGACAGACACGUCGAGCAGGUACGAAAGUAGGUCUUAGUGAUCCGGUGGUUCUGUAUGGAAGGGCCAUCGCUCAACGGAUAAAAGGUACUCCGGGGAUAACAGGCUGAUACCGCCCAAGAGUUCAUAUCGACGGCGGUGUUUGGCACCUCGAUGUCGGCUCAUCACAUCCUGGGGCUGAAGCCGGUCCCAAGGGUAUGGCUGUUCGCCAUUUAAAGUGGUACGCGAGCUGGGUUUAGAACGUCGUGAGACAGUUCGGUCCCUAUCUGCCGUGGACGUUUGAGAUUUGAGAGGGGCUGCUCCUAGUACGAGAGGACCGGAGUGGACGAACCUCUGGUGUUCCGGUUGUCACGCCAGUGGCAUUGCCGGGUAGCUAUGUUCGGAAAAGAUAACCGCUGAAAGCAUCUAAGCGGGAAACUUGCCUCAAGAUGAGAUCUCACUGGAACCUAGAGUUCCCUGAAGGGCCGUCGAAGACUACGACGUUGAUAGGUUGGGUGUGUAAGCGCUGUGAGGCGUUGAGCUAACCAAUACUAAUUGCCCGUGAGGCUUGACCAU
RNAcentral lists this ribosomal RNA (2893 nucleotides) under Pseudomonas syringae pv. actinidiae. RNAcentral describes it as "23S ribosomal RNA". It matches the Rfam family "Bacterial large subunit ribosomal RNA". Lineage: Bacteria; Pseudomonadati; Pseudomonadota; Gammaproteobacteria; Pseudomonadales; Pseudomonadaceae. The record is from RNAcentral.